GUGCUUGUGGUGUAGUGGUAAUCACAUUCGCUUUACACGCGAAAGGUCCCAGGUUCAAUCCCUGGCAGGCACA
Molecule: transfer RNA, 73 nt
Filed under: Limulus polyphemus (Atlantic horseshoe crab)
Lineage: Eukaryota; Metazoa; Arthropoda; Merostomata; Xiphosura; Limulidae
Description: tRNA-Val
Rfam family: tRNA
About the family: Transfer RNA (tRNA) molecules are approximately 80 nucleotides in length. Their secondary structure includes four short double-helical elements and three loops (D, anti-codon, and T loops).
Source: RNAcentral